GAAGCACCGGCUAACUCCGUGCCAGCAGCCGCGGUAAUACGGAGGGUGCGAGCGUUAAUCGGAAUUACUGGGCGUAAAGCGCAUGCAGGUGGUUUGUUAAGUCAGAUGUGAAAGACCCGGGGCGUCAACCUCGGAAUUGCAUUUGAAACUGGCAAACUAGAGUACUGUAGAGGGGGGUAGGAAUUUCAGGUGUAGCGGUGAAAUAGCGUAGAGAUCUGAAGGAAUACCGGUGGCGAAGGCGGCCCCCUCGGACAGAUACUGACACUCAGAUGCGAAAGCGUGGGGAGCAAACAGGAUUAGAUACCCUGGUAG
RNAcentral lists this ribosomal RNA (312 nucleotides) under uncultured bacterium. RNAcentral's name for it is "bacterial SSU rRNA". It matches the Rfam family "Bacterial small subunit ribosomal RNA", at positions 487 to 793 of the family's 1533-position model. The record is from RNAcentral.